Molecule: ribosomal RNA, 426 nt
Filed under: uncultured bacterium
Lineage: Bacteria
Description: bacterial SSU rRNA
Rfam family: Bacterial small subunit ribosomal RNA
Source: RNAcentral
GUGAGGAAUUUUCAGCAAUGGGCGAAAGCCUGACGGAGCAAUGCCGCGUGAAGGAUGAAGGCCUAUGGGUUGUAAACUUCUUUUCUCAGAAAAGAAUUAUGACGGUAUCUGAGGAAUAAGCAUCGGCUAACUCUGUGCCAGCAGCCGCGGUAAGACAGAGGAUGCAAGCGUUAUCCGGAAUGAUUGGGCGUAAAGCGUCUGUAGGUUGUUUAAAAAGUAUUCUGUCAAAGAUUAGGGCUUAACCCUAGAUAGGCAGAAUAAACUUUUAAGCUAGAGUUUGGUAGAGGCAGAGGGAAUUCCCGGUGGAGCGGUGAAAUGCGUAGAUAUCGGGAGGAACACCAAAGGCGAAGGCACUCUGCUGGGCCAAUACUAACACUGAGAGACGAAAGCGAGGGGAGCAAAUGGGAUUAGAUACCCUGGUAGUCC